Long non-coding RNA from Populus euphratica (Euphrates poplar), 324 nucleotides. RefSeq lists it as uncharacterized. The transcript is spliced from 2 exons. Lineage: Eukaryota; Viridiplantae; Streptophyta; Magnoliopsida; Malpighiales; Salicaceae. The record is from RefSeq and is a predicted model, not a curated record.
AACAGUUUGCAGACACUAGCCAAAUUGUUAGGGAAUUUCUUCAAAGCAUGUAGCUGACCUUCGAACAAUCUUCCGUGGAGAUGAGGCAAAAGUUAUAUAUGCAGCUCACGUUGGAAAGCAUUUCAUAGGUGUCAAGCGCACAUUUUCUUCUAAUCAAAUCUGUCUAUGGGCUUGAAUACCAAGUCUUCGACGCACUAAAAGAAAAAUUAGAUUUACCAAUCUAUUCUAUAGGUCCUACCUUACCUUGUUUGAACUUAAGGACAACUAUCCCGUCAAUACAGGUUCUGAUAUCACCUAGUAUUUCCAAUGGCCAGAUUCCCAACC